UAGGGAAUCUUCCACAAUGGGCGCAAGCCUGAUGGAGCAACGCCGCGUGAGUGAAGAAGGUCUUCGGAUCGUAAAACUCUGUUGUUAGAGAAGAACAUGCAGGAGAGUAACUGUUCAUUCGAUGACGGUAUCUAACCAGCAAGUCACGGCUAACUACGUGCCAG
Molecule: ribosomal RNA, 164 nt
Filed under: uncultured bacterium
Lineage: Bacteria
Description: partial 16S rRNA
Rfam family: Bacterial small subunit ribosomal RNA
Source: RNAcentral